GUUCCAUUGCUGGCGAGGAGCUGCGUUCUUUUGGAGGAGAAGAGGCGCUCUGAGUUUUAGAAUUUUCAGCUUUUCUGCUUUGCUGCAGGUCUGUUGGAGUUUGCUGGAGGUCCACUCCAGACCCUGUUUGCCUGGGUAUCACCAGCGGAGGCUGCAGAACAGCAAAUAUUGCAGAACGGCAGAUGUUGCUGCCUGAUCGUUCUUCUGGAAGCUUUGUCUCAGAGGGGCACCCGGCUGUAUGAGGGACUCAGGGUGCUUCCACAAAUAUUAGAAGGUGAAGAGGAGCCAGUGUCUGUAGAUUACAUGGUGAGAGAGGAAGCAAAGGGAGGAAGAGGUGCCAGGCUCUUUUCAACAACCAGUUCUCUUAGGAACUAUGAGUGAAAACUCAUUCACUUCCACGAGAAUGGCACCAAGCCAUUUUUAGGGAUCUGCCUCUACUAUCCAGUCACCUCCUACCAGGCCCCCCUCCAACAUUGGGAAUCAGAUUUUAACAUGAGAUUUGGUGGAUGAUAUCCAAAUGAUAUCCAUCUAAAUCAUAGACACCUUCAGGAGACAUUUGACAGUGUUUGGAGACGUUUUUGCUUGUCACAACUGGAAGUGGUGCUACUGGCAUCUAGUGUCUAGAGGCCAGAAGGGAUGUUGGUAAAUAUCUUACAAUGCACAGGACAGAGGACAGCCCCACUCUGCCACUCAACACAGACUCAUCCAGUCCCAAGUGCCAGUAGUGCUAAGGCUACUUUGAAGUUUGAGAAAAUGAAAGCCAGCCUGGGCAACAUGAUUUAUGGUGGAUUAUUUUCUGAAGAUCAGUGUUGGUACAGAUGCAAAGUACUGAAAAUCAUCAGCGUUGAAAAGUGUCUGGUGAGGUACAUUGACUAUGGAAAUACUGAAAUUCUAAAUCGAUCUGAUAUAGUUGAAAUUCCUUUGGAGCUGCAGUUUUCUAGUGUUGCCAAAAAGUAUAAACUUUGGGGACUACACAUUCCUUCUGAUCAAGAAGUUACCCAGUUUGAUCAGGGCACAACCUUUUUGGGGAGCUUGAUUUUUGAAAAGGAAAUAAAAAUGAGAAUUAAAGCAACCUCUGAAGAUGGAACAGUUAUUGCUCAGGCUGAGUAUGGCAGUGUGGAUAUAGGGGAAGAGGUGCUUAAGAAAGGAUUUGCAGAGAAAUGCAGACUUGCUUCCAGAACUGACAUCUGUGAGGAAAAAAAAUUGGAUCCUGGUCAACUUGUUCUCAGGAACCUCAAAAGCCCCAUUCCUUUGUGGGGGCAUAGAUCAAACCAGUCAACCUUCAGCAGGCCCAAGGGGCACUUAAGUGAGAAAAUGACUCUUGACUUGAAGGAUGAAAAUGAUGCAGGCAAUCUUAUAACAUUUCCAAAGGAAAGUUUGGCUGUUGGUGACUUUAAUUUAGGGUCUAACGUCAGCCUGGAAAAAAUUAAGCAGGACCAGAAACUGAUUGAAGAAAAUGAAAAACUUAAAACAGAGAAGGACGCUCUUCUCGAAAGUUAUAAGGCGUUAGAAUUGAAAGUAGAGCAGAUUGCCCAGGAGCUGCAGCAAGAGAAGGCAGCUGCUGUGGAUUUGACUAACCACUUAGAAAACACUCUGAAGACCUGUAUAGAUACCAGAAUGAAAAAUCUGGCAGCUAAGAUGGAAAUACUGAAAGAAAUGAGGCAUGUCGACAUCAGUGUCCGUUUCGGAAAAGACCUUUCAGAUGCUAUACAAGUGUUGGAUGAAGGGUGCUUUACUACUCCAGCUUCUUUGAAUGGAUUAGAGAUAAUAUGGGCAGAAUACAGUCUGGCUCAGGAGAAUAUUAAAACUUGUGAAUAUGUGAGUGAAGGGAAUAUUUUGAUUGCCCAAAGAAAUGAAAUGCAGCAGAAGCUGUACAUGUCAGUAGAAGAUUUUAUUCUGGAAGUUGAUGAGUCAUCUCUUAAUAAACGCUUAAAAACAUUGCAGGAUUUGUCAGUCUCUUUAGAAGCAGUGUAUGGACAAGCCAAAGAAGGAGCAAAUUCUGAUGAAAUACUUAAAAAAUUUUAUGACUGGAAGUGUGAUAAAAGAGAGGAGUUCACCGAUGUUAGAAGUGAAACAGACGCUUCUCUGCACCGUCUUGUAGCAUGGUUCCAAAGAACCUUAAAGGUUUUUGACCUAUCUGUGGAAGGAUCACUGAUUUCAGAAGACGCAAUGGAUAAUAUUGAUGAAAUCCUAGAGAAGACUGAGUCAAGUGUCUGCAAAGAGCUGGAGAUAGCUCUGGUUGAUCAAGGUGAUGCAGACAAGGAGAUAAUUUCAAAUACAUAUAGUCAAGUACUGCAAAAGAUUCAUUCAGAGGAAAGGCUCAUUGCCACAGUACAAGCUAAGUACAAGGACAGUAUUGAGUUUAAAAAGCAGCUUAUUGAAUAUUUAAAUAAGAGUCCCAGUGUGGAUCACUUGCUAUCCAUUAAGAAGACAUUGAAAAGCUUAAAAGCUCUACUCAGAUGGAAAUUGGUUGAAAAGAAUAAUUUGGAAGAGUCAGAUGAUCCUGAUGGCUCUCAAAUUGAGAAAAUAAAAGAAGAAAUAACUCAGCUGCGCAAUAAUGUCUUUCAGGAAAUUUAUCAUGAGAGAGAGGAAUAUGAGAUGCUAACUAGUUUGGCACAGAAAUGGUUCCCUGAGCUGCCUCUGCUUCAUCCUGAAAUAGGAUUACUCAAAUACAUGAACUCUGGUGGUCUCCUUACAAUGAGCUUGGAACGAGAUCUUCUUGAUGCUGAGCCCAUGAAGGAACUUAGCAGCAAGCGCCCUUUGGUACGUUCUGAGGUUAAUGGGCAGAUAAUUCUGUUAAAGGGCUAUUCUGUGGAUGUUGACACAGAAGCCAAGGUGAUUGAGAGAGCAGCCACCUACCAUAGAGCUUGGAGAGAAGCUGAAGGAGACUCAGGGUUACUACCAUUGAUAUUCCUGUUUUUAUGUAAGUCUGAUCCUAUGGCUUAUCUGAUGGUCCCAUACUACCCUAGGGCAAACCUGAAUGCUGUUCAAGCCAACAUGCCUUUAAAUUCAGAAGAAACUUUAAAGGUCAUGAAAGGUGUUGCCCAGGGCCUGCAUACAUUGCAUAAGGCUGACAUAAUUCAUGGAUCACUUCAUCAGAACAAUGUAUUUGCUUUAAACCGUGAACAAGGAAUUGUUGGAGAUUUUGACUUCACCAAAUCUGUGAGUCAGCGAGCCUCGGUGAACAUGAUGGUUGGUGACUUGAGUUUGAUCUCACCUGAGUUGAAAAUGGGAAAACCUGCUUCUCCAGGUUCAGACUUAUAUGCUUAUGGCUGCCUCUUAUUAUGGCUUUCUGUUCAAAAUCAGGAGUUUGAGAUAAAUAAAGAUGGAAUCCCGAAAGUGGAUCAGUUUCAUCUGGAUGAUAAAGUCAAAUCCCUCCUCUGUAGCUUGAUAUAUUAUAGAAGUUCAAUGACUGCUGAACAAGUUUUAAAUGCUGAAUGUUUCUUGAUGCCAAAGGAGAAAUCAGUUCCAAACCCAGAAAAAGAUACUGAAUACACCCUAUAUAAAAAGGAAGAAGAAAUAAAGACGGAGAACUUGGAUAAAUGUAUGGAGAAGACAAGAAAUGGUGAAGCCAACUUUGAUUGUUAAAUUAUUAUUGUUGUUGUUGCAGAGGUUCUUUUUAAAAACUUUGUUUAGUUUGGUUAAUACACAGAAAUAUCUAGAAAUGUUCUGGGACUAGUUGAGUUGUAUCUUUAGUAUUCAGGUUGUGAAAAAUAAAGAUGUUUGGCUAUGCACAAAA
This 3739-nucleotide small RNA is filed under the name Pan troglodytes (chimpanzee). RNAcentral's name for it is "processed transcript". The record is from RNAcentral. Lineage: Eukaryota; Metazoa; Chordata; Mammalia; Primates; Hominidae.